UUAAUGACAUUGGGAUAGAGGUGGUAUCUCCCGAUCUGGAAAAACAGGGUUUUUAGUUGUAGUUUUUGUUGAUCGGGAAUAUAGCCGAAAGCCCGACCCGCU
Molecule: small RNA, 102 nt
Filed under: Flavobacterium araucananum
Lineage: Bacteria; Pseudomonadati; Bacteroidota; Flavobacteriia; Flavobacteriales; Flavobacteriaceae
Description: Flavo-1 RNA
Source: RNAcentral